UUUGUAUUCCUUCUUUGCAUGUGUUUUCUUCUUUAGUUCUUCUUUGAUAGGUUUGUUGCAGUUGGCAAUGAAGUGGCCAGGCUUUUUGCAGUUGUAGCAUAGGUCAUUCAUUUGCUCCUGACUGCUGUAAUUGCUGACCUUCUUUGGCUUGCUGAUUCUUCCUUGUCACAUGAAUCUUCUUAGUCUCUUUACCAGCAUAGCAAAGUCAUCGUCAUCGUCUUCAACAUCAUCAGAGUCAAUCUCAGUGUUAACCCUUGAUAUACUUUCAGUUGCCUUGAGAGAAACACCAUUAUCCUUCCUUCUUCCUUCUGAUAAGGUUUCAGCACGUUGGGUCAGCUCCAGUUCGUAGGUCAGGAGAUUGCCGAAUAACUGUUGAACUGUCAUCUCAUUAAGAUUCUUUGAUUCUCUUAUUGUUGUGGUCUUUGCAUCCCACCUGCUCGGUAGGGCUCUCAUGAACUUUAUG
RNAcentral lists this long non-coding RNA (463 nucleotides) under Panax ginseng (ginseng). RNAcentral's name for it is "long non-coding RNA (PGIN_LNC012464)". Lineage: Eukaryota; Viridiplantae; Streptophyta; Magnoliopsida; Apiales; Araliaceae. The record is from RNAcentral.